Molecule: long non-coding RNA, 1114 nt
Filed under: Cricetulus griseus (Chinese hamster)
Lineage: Eukaryota; Metazoa; Chordata; Mammalia; Rodentia; Cricetidae
Description: lncRNA (ENSCGRG00015036308.1)
Source: RNAcentral
CUAGCAGGUGCAGGGUGAGGCAAGGCUUUCUAUGGGGAGAACAGAGACUAUGUCCGUUGAACAGGUGAGAGUCGGCUGUGACAAGGAGUCUCUCAUUUCUCCAGCUGCCUAUAGGAAAUUAGAGUGGGGUCUUCAGUGUGAGACAGUGGACGUCUAGAGGCAGCUUCUUCCUCCACAUGCUCCCAGGGCACUCUUCUCACCCCUACCCCCCACCCCUGUCUCUCCUAGAGAUGCUCCCACCUUUGAUGCCAGUUUGUCAAACAAUCCAUCCACCUCCUCUUGCUGUUGUGGCAUUCCCAGUUCACUCCUGAGCUGGCUGUCAGAGUUGGAACCUGGUCUCGUCUAUGUUGGGCUCCCUGAACUCCCAGCAUUUGGUGGAGGAGUCCUAGCUGCCUGCUUUACACCUCUGCUGCCAACAGAGCUAUUUUAUAUACUGGGAUUUCUCUUGAGAUUUAAAUUGAGUAUGAAUUUAUGUGCUCUAAAAAAAGUUUAUGGACCACUGAACCAGACAUUAUCAAAAUAUAUCUUGAAUCCUGCAAGGCAAGCACUACGAUCUCCAGUUUACAUAUGGAAAAACCAAGACUGAGACUUCUGAAGCAGAAGUUAUGUGCAUAUUGCAAUCCAAGUCCCUGGAGCUUGAGCAGCUAUGACAUGGCCAGGGGUAUGGAUCUCUAUAGUCUCCUCGAUAAGAAGUUUGUCUGUAACCAAAGAGGGCUGAUACUCCAAUCCCUUCCCAGACCUGUUCUAGUUGAGAUGGCACUCAUCUGUCCCUCUCCUCCCUGAUUUUUGUUACUUGAGGUGAUCUUCUGUGGCUCUGGCUCCUGACCGUCGGCAUGGAUAAAUGUUUACAGUCAAGGUAUUUACCUGCAAAAUGAGUACCCUAGUCAUAGGGUUUCUUUUUGACCCUGCUUUGAAACUUUGAUAAUCCCUUUAGUUAUCCUGAGUCUAUUUCUCACUAGGAUAUAUGGGUAACAAUGCCUUAUACCAUGAGACUAGAAAAGAUAAAACAUGACAUUCCGUAGAACUCCCAGCUUGUCACAGGUCCUGAAAAAUUUCACCUCACACAGGCCUCUGUGUGGGGGCAUGAUGGCAUUCAGAAAAGUGUUGAGUCAUG